RNAcentral lists this ribosomal RNA (253 nucleotides) under uncultured bacterium. Its description in RNAcentral is "partial 16S ribosomal RNA". It matches the Rfam family "Bacterial small subunit ribosomal RNA", at positions 524 to 776 of the family's 1533-position model. The record is from RNAcentral.
UACGUAGGGUGCGAGCGUUAAUCGGAAUAACUGGGCGUAAAGGGCACGCAGGCGGGCUUUUAAGUGAGGUGUGAAAUCCCCGGGCUUAACCUGGGAAUAGCAUUUCAGACUGGGGGUCUAGAGUACUUUAGGGAGGGGUAGAAUUCCACGUGUAGCGGUGAAAUGCGUAGAGAUGUGGAGGAAUACCGAAGGCGAAGGCAGCCCCUUGGGAUAACACUGACGUUCAGGCCCGAAAGCGUGGGUAGCAAACAGG